AGUUUUGGAACACCGCAUUAGAUCUAGGUUUCAAUUAAAUAUAUGAAUCACAAACAACACUCAAGCAUGCAACAGAGUACAACUGUAUCGCGUGCAACAACCCAAAGGAGUUGGCAAAUAAAUGCUCUAAAGGGUACAAAACAUUUCUGAGUGGUUUGAUCCCACAUCUCAUUCUCCUACAAAAGUAGCUCAAAAAAAAAAGAUGGCAGCAAAGGAGAUACCGUUGAUCUUGUACAACAACAGUAACAGAAAUGAGUAAUUUACAAUGAAACAAACACUAUAUUAGUAAAAUAUAAUCUGACAUCUAAUUCCCCUGAGACAUUUGAACAAACAUGUGAUGGAUAACCUUACACUCCAGAUGGUAACCUCCUAGGAACCUCAAUCUCUGACGGGAAGCAAGCUACCUCAACCCUGCGAGUAAAACAUUUUUUUGUGAAAGAACAUUAAGCAUGCAAUGAAGGGAAAUAUAUUACCAAUUGAAGGAUUUUAUCAGCAAGCAAAAGUCUCAUUUCAAUUUUGAAGCAAGCAGACAAACUCUGUGAAUAUAUAUUAAAGUUUAAAGCAGCCUUUGGGUUGUUAGUGCUUGGAACCUCAUUAUUAGAUCUCUGAAAGAACUUGGAAAAUAAUGUAUCCAAUAAGCAAAAAUAUCAUAUUUGCACUUUACCAGCAGUCGUUUUCGAUAUAGAAAAUUAAGCGCCUCGAAGAUUUUGUAGAAAAUAUCUAUCCACUGGCCAGUGCACUUUGGGAUUACAGGGAGCCCCAUUAGUAUCUUAUGAUCUUACUACCUACAACAAAAUACACCAAUCCGUAAGAAAUUGCAACCAGCAUGAAACUGAACCUCAAAUAUGAUACAACAAAAUGUAGCAGAGGUGGCUGCAAACACAUAACUAGUGGUGUUUUCUUUGACAUGGCCUCGCCUCAAUAUAGAUCUGACCGUAGAAACCUCUUGUGCCUUGCCGGCAAUGGUUGUCUGCAGCUUCUACCACUGAAUCUCAGGUCUGCAGCGGGGUAAUUUAUUAGACCAAAUCUCAUAGAAAAAAACAAAUAAUUCAUUUAUAGAUCCUGCUGACUAGAUCUCAUAGAUCAAUAUGAAAAAUAUAGGGAAGUAAAUUAGGAACACAUAAUAACAAUCUAUAUACUAUAACAUGAAGAAUCAUAGAUAGGGGGAGCAAGAAGGCUGCAUUUCUUCCAAAAGCAGUAGCACAAAACAAAAGAAACGUUAUGAAGGUGAGUUUUACCUUUAAUUGAUUCGAACCAUGCUAGAUGAACUUCUAUUGCUUCUCGUCACCUCCGGAAUCGCUCGCCGCUUCUUGCACUCCCAAUUCCAGAAACUGCAAGGAGAGAGAGAGAGAGAGGGAGGGAGAGAGAGGGGGAGAGGGAGGGAGAGN
This 1388-nucleotide long non-coding RNA is filed under the name Triticum aestivum (bread wheat). Its description in RNAcentral is "long non-coding RNA (TAES_LNC009675)". The record is from RNAcentral. Lineage: Eukaryota; Viridiplantae; Streptophyta; Magnoliopsida; Poales; Poaceae.